GAUAAGCCGAGACCGAUCACGCACGCGGACAGGAUCCCGACAUUGAGUUUUCGUAACCCGUAAUUUCCAGGCAUCGUCGACACCACGCUACGCUGUGAACCGUUACUGACUGUCCCGGAACGCUACUGGAUCGCUAUCGCUCUCGAGAUUGCUUCGAGACGUUUUGAUGACGUCGUACUUUAAUAACAAGAAGGUAGACUGUAAGGCGAGGAUCGAUAAUGGAGCAUUAAGGACAUCAUCGAACCACUCUCUUCGCUGUCGACGACGAUUUGAGCGUAUGCUCGAUGAUGCGGAAAAUAUCUUGCUGGAACAAAUUUACAUGUAAUUGCAUAAGACUCGAUAUAAAUUGCAACGCAUUCUUAACA
This is a long non-coding RNA of Monomorium pharaonis (pharaoh ant), 365 nucleotides long. RefSeq lists it as uncharacterized. The record is from RefSeq and is a predicted model, not a curated record. Lineage: Eukaryota; Metazoa; Arthropoda; Insecta; Hymenoptera; Formicidae. The transcript is spliced from 2 exons.